UUUAUUUCUUGGUCUUUUGACUAAGAUCAUGUAUAGCAUCUAUUCUUAUCAGUUUAAUAUCUUAUAUGUGGCUCAAUGAAUCACAAAAUAUUAAAUUACUUUUUGAGAGGGCGGGGUCAACACAAUAGCUUGCUAUUGGGCUUCUCAGGUGGUUUCGCAUAUGUGUUGCAUUAUUGCAUAUUGGGAUGUGUCCUUU
Medicago truncatula (barrel medic) is the source of this 196-nucleotide small nuclear RNA. It matches the Rfam family "U2 spliceosomal RNA". Rfam says of the family: U2 is a small nuclear RNA (snRNA) component of the spliceosome (involved in pre-mRNA splicing). Complementary binding between U2 snRNA (in an area lying towards the 5' end but 3' to hairpin I) and the branchpoint sequence (BPS) of the intron results the bulging out of an unpaired adenosine, on the BPS, which initiates a nucleophilic attack at the intronic 5' splice site, thus starting the first of two transesterification reactions that mediate splicing. NCBI's taxonomy places the organism in Eukaryota, Viridiplantae, Streptophyta, Magnoliopsida, Fabales, Fabaceae. The record is from Rfam.